GGAAGAAAAGAGGAAGAAACACUGGGCCCUUUUCUCCCUAGAUUCACCUGUGGAAGGGAAUGAGCAAGCAGACGAAAAAGAAGAUAAGGAACAACCUUGUCAUUGAACGUGCCUUAAGUUCUGCCCUUAUUCUCCACCUCAAUCAGAAGCAGCUUUCUCUCUCUUUCUCUCUCUCUCUUGACUUUAAUCUCUGUUAAACACCAUUCUGACAAAACUUGUGGGAGUGCAGUCUGACUGGAGAGGAACGGGCGUAAGAAAUCAUCACAAGUAUCUGCUCUGCAGGAGGAAGACGUAUCUUUUAAAGCCCCCUCCACUUCUUCCUCUGCGGUCUCUUCAUUAUGACCUUGCUGGCGUCUGAGAGGUCACUGCUCAUCCGCAAUAAGUUCCGCUCAGUUCUGCAGUUGAGGAUCCAGAACCGAAGACAGCAGAAUGAACUUAAUGCAGAGGCUGGUACAAAGGCCUCAGUUCCUGAUAAAACUGGGGACAAAGAAGUCAGCAAU
Danio rerio (zebrafish) is the source of this 500-nucleotide non-coding RNA. Lineage: Eukaryota; Metazoa; Chordata; Actinopteri; Cypriniformes; Danionidae. The record is from Ensembl.